RNAcentral lists this ribosomal RNA (253 nucleotides) under uncultured bacterium. RNAcentral's name for it is "partial 16S ribosomal RNA". It matches the Rfam family "Bacterial small subunit ribosomal RNA", at positions 524 to 776 of the family's 1533-position model. The record is from RNAcentral.
UACAGAGGGUGCAAGCGUUAAUCGGAUUUACUGGGCUUAAAGCGCGCGUAGGCGGCUACUUAAGUCACAUGUGAAAUCCCCGAGCUUAACUUGGGAAUUGCAUUCGAUACUGGUGAGCUAGAGUGUGGGAGAGGAUGGUAGAAUUCCAGGUGUAGCGGUGAAAUGCGUAGAGAUCUGGAGGAAUACCGAUGGCGAAGGCAGCCAGCUGGCGUAACACUGACGCUGAGGUGCGAAAGCAUGGGGAGCAAACAGG